UGUAAGAGAAUGACAUAGCUUUGCAACCAUAUCCUUCUCUCAUGUCCUUUUUUCUUAUCAGCUCUAGUUUCUGGCUUAUGGUCUACUAGGGGUGAAUUGGGUAAUAGAUACAUCCAUGAAGAGGAGCAUUUGGCUAGGGAGCAUCCCUGGUGAUAAAAACUAAGGCAAGAUCUUAGGCCUUAUCCCCUUAGCUACCUUUUGGGUCAUUUGAAGACAAAAAACAAGAGAGCUUUUUGGAGCAUAGAGUCUAUCUAUGACAAAUUUAAACAUUUAUGG
RNAcentral lists this long non-coding RNA (276 nucleotides) under Carica papaya (papaya). Its description in RNAcentral is "long non-coding RNA (CPAP_LNC000073)". The record is from RNAcentral. Lineage: Eukaryota; Viridiplantae; Streptophyta; Magnoliopsida; Brassicales; Caricaceae.